RNAcentral lists this ribosomal RNA (244 nucleotides) under uncultured Staphylococcus sp. Its description in RNAcentral is "partial 16S ribosomal RNA". It matches the Rfam family "Bacterial small subunit ribosomal RNA", at positions 96 to 334 of the family's 1533-position model. The record is from RNAcentral. Lineage: Bacteria; Bacillati; Bacillota; Bacilli; Caryophanales; Staphylococcaceae.
CGGCGGACGGGUGAGUAACACGUGGAUAACCAACCUAUAAGACUGGGAUAACUUCGGGAAACCGGAGCUAAUACCGGAUAAUAUAUUGAACCGCAUGGUUCAAUAGUGAAAGACGGUUUUGCUGUCACUUAUAGAUGGAUCCGCGCCGCAUUAGCUAGUUGGUAAGGUAACGGCUUACCAAGGCAACGAUGCGUAGCCGACCUGAGAGGGUGAUCGGCCACACUGGAACUGAGACACGGUCCAG